This 161-nucleotide ribosomal RNA is filed under the name Neochloris sp. AY2. Its description in RNAcentral is "5.8S ribosomal RNA". It matches the Rfam family "5.8S ribosomal RNA". Rfam says of the family: 5.8S ribosomal RNA (5.8S rRNA) is a component of the large subunit of the eukaryotic ribosome. It is transcribed by RNA polymerase I as part of the 45S precursor that also contains 18S and 28S rRNA. The record is from RNAcentral. Lineage: Eukaryota; Viridiplantae; Chlorophyta; Chlorophyceae; Sphaeropleales; Neochloridaceae.
AGACAACUCUCAACAACGGAUAUCUUGGCUCUCGCAACGAUGAAGAACGCAGCGAAAUGCGAUACGUAGUGUGAAUUGCAGAAUUCCGUGAACCAUCGAAUCUUUGAACGCAUAUUGCACUCGCGGCCUCGGCCAAGAGUAUGUCUGCCUCAGCGUCGGUU